GGCAUAUAGCUCAGUUGAUAGAGUGCUUGCCUCCACGUACAAGGUCCUGGGUUCAAUCCCCAGCACCA
This 68-nucleotide transfer RNA is filed under the name Marmota monax (woodchuck). RNAcentral's name for it is "tRNA.Undet". Lineage: Eukaryota; Metazoa; Chordata; Mammalia; Rodentia; Sciuridae. The record is from RNAcentral.